CCUACGGGAGGCAGCAGUAGGGAAUAUUGCUCAAUGGGGGAAACCCUGAAGCAGCAACGCCGCGUGGAGGAUGAAGGUUUUCGGAGUGGAAACUCCUUUUGGUAGAGAAGAAAAUGACGGUAUCUAACGAAUAAGCACCGGCCGACACCGUGCCAGCCGCGGUAAUACGGAGGGUGCAAGCGUUACUCGGAAUCACUGGGCGUAAAGAGCGCGUAGGAGGGAUCGUAAGGCAGAUGUGAAAGCCUGUGGCUUAACCAUAGAACUGCCUUUGAAACUGUUAUUCUAGAGUAUGGGAGAGGUAGGUGGAAUUCUUGGUGUAGAGGUCAAAUCCGUAGAUAUCAGGAGGAAUACUCAUUGCGAAGGCGACCUGCUAGAACAUAACUGACGCUGAUGCACGAAAGCGUGGGGAGCAAACAGGAUUAGAUACCCGGGUAGUC
Molecule: ribosomal RNA, 437 nt
Filed under: uncultured bacterium
Lineage: Bacteria
Description: partial 16S ribosomal RNA
Rfam family: Bacterial small subunit ribosomal RNA
Source: RNAcentral